GCGUUUGUAGUCCAACGGUCAGGAUGAAUGGAUAAUUGUCUUCCAAGCAAUAGACUUGGGUUCGACUCCGGCAAGCAUAUGCA
Molecule: non-coding RNA, 83 nt
Organism: Stylosanthes scabra
Lineage: Eukaryota; Viridiplantae; Streptophyta; Magnoliopsida; Fabales; Fabaceae
Source: the annotation of a GenBank genome assembly